GACGAACGCUGGCGGCGUGCUUAACACAUGCAAGUCGAACGGAAAGGCCCUGCUUUUGUGGGGUGCUCGAGUGGCGAACGGGUGAGUAACACGUGAGUAACCUGCCCUUGACUUUGGGAUAACUUCAGGAAACUGGGGCUAAUACCGGAUAGGAGCUCCUGCUGCAUGGUGGGGGUUGGAAAGUUUCGGCGGUUGGGGAUGGACUCGCGGCUUAUCAGCUUGUUGGUGGGGUAGUGGCUUACCAAGGCUUUGACGGGUAGCCGGCCUGAGAGGGUGACCGGCCACAUUGGGCCUGAGAUACGGCCCAGACUCCUAUGGGAGGCAGCAGUGGGGAAUAUUGUACAAUGGGCGGAAGCCUGAUGCAGCAACGCCGCGGGCGGGAUGAUGGCCUUCGGGUUGUAAACCGCUUCCGCCUGUGACGAAGCGUGAGUGACGGUAAUGGGUAAAGAAGCACCGGCUAACUACGUG
This 468-nucleotide ribosomal RNA is filed under the name uncultured bacterium. RNAcentral describes it as "partial 16S ribosomal RNA". It matches the Rfam family "Bacterial small subunit ribosomal RNA", at positions 28 to 507 of the family's 1533-position model. The record is from RNAcentral.